UACGUAGGUGGCGAGCGUUGUCCGGAUUUACUGGGCGUAAAGGGAGCGUAGGCGGACUUUUAAGUGAGGUGUAAAAGGCAGUGGCUCAACCAUUGUAUGCAUUGGAAACUGGUAGACUUGAGUGCAGGAGAGGAGAGUGGAAUUCCAUGUGUAGCGGUGAAAUGCGUAGAUAUAUGGAGGAACACCAGUGGCGAAGGCGGCUUCCUGGUCUGCAACUGACACUGAGGCGCGAAAGCGUGGGGAGCAAACAGG
Molecule: ribosomal RNA, 252 nt
Filed under: uncultured bacterium
Lineage: Bacteria
Description: partial 16S ribosomal RNA
Rfam family: Bacterial small subunit ribosomal RNA
Source: RNAcentral